RNAcentral lists this long non-coding RNA (827 nucleotides) under Cricetulus griseus (Chinese hamster). RNAcentral's name for it is "lncRNA (ENSCGRG00000024176.1)". Lineage: Eukaryota; Metazoa; Chordata; Mammalia; Rodentia; Cricetidae. The record is from RNAcentral.
GUACAGACUGCUGCCACACAGGCUGGCUAGGUCGCUCUAUAAGUAAGGCUUUUCCCUAUUAGAUACCCUUAUAUUUCUACUUGGCUCUGUAUUGGUAAUUUCCCACUGUAUAUGGUUAUAGUUUUCUUCAGUUAUUAUAAAAGAUAAGUUAUCCUUCUUUUUAUUUAGACAUAAAAAAGGAGAUGAUGGGGAAUGAACUUCUUUGUAUGUUUAUCUUAUUGAUUAUUGAAUAAAAUACUGUUUGGCCAAUGGCAGCAAGUUAGAUGGGACUAGGAGUCAAAGAGGAUUCUGGGAAAUGUAGUAGAGAAGUGGUGAUCCAGGCAGGAAGUGACAUAGCAAGAAGACUCAUAUUAAGCGAAGGAAAAAUAGGAAGCGUCCCCUUUUCCCCUUGCUCCUCCAGCAGCAGGAUGUGAUUUACCACCAAGGAGGGACGCCAAUAAGGCAUCCGAUAAGGCCUUCGCCCUCCUCUCAGUCCUCCCUCUCCACUAUCAUCUCUAGCUCCUUCCUGGAAAGCCAGAGUCUUCAUUUGUUGUUGGUUGUCCAAGAAGGAGGAAGAGAACAUGGAGGGGAAUCAAAGAUUCUGUCCCAGAGGAAGCUGGGAAGAUACAAAGGAAACUUCAGUAAGACAAGAUGAAGGACAUGGGGGUGCAUAUCUCAAUAAAAAAUCUCAGUCAAAUCUUCUUGAAGCAGUCACUAUGGGCUCACAAGUGUUCAACACACAGGGAAAGAAUGGCUGUGGUUAUCUCUCCUGGGUCUCUGAGAAAUGUGGGUCAUUUACAAAGAAAAGAUUCCACAUGUCAAUUUCACAAAACAGAAUUUUAAAAUAG